This 352-nucleotide ribosomal RNA is filed under the name uncultured bacterium. RNAcentral's name for it is "bacterial SSU rRNA". It matches the Rfam family "Bacterial small subunit ribosomal RNA", at positions 8 to 350 of the family's 1533-position model. The record is from RNAcentral.
AGAGUUUGAUCCUGGCUCAGGAUGAACGCUAGCUACAGGCUUAACACAUGCAAGUCGAGGGGAAACGACAUCGAAAGCUUGCUUUUGAUGGGCGUCGACCGGCGCACGGGUGAGUAACGCGUAUCCAACCUGCCCACCACUUGGGGAUAACCUUGCGAAAGUAAGACUAAUACCCAAUGAUAUCUCUAGAAGACAUCUGAAAGAGAUUAAAGAUUUAUCGGUGAUGGAUGGGGAUGCGUCUGAUUAGCUUGUUGGCGGGGUAACGGCCACCAAGGCUACGAUCAGUAGGAGUUCUGAGAGGAAGGUCCCCCANAUUGGAACUGAGACACGGUCCAAACUCCUACGGGAGGGA